RNAcentral lists this transfer RNA (56 nucleotides) under Leipothrix sp. 1 XFX-2017. RNAcentral's name for it is "tRNA-Ile". Lineage: Eukaryota; Metazoa; Arthropoda; Arachnida; Trombidiformes; Eriophyidae. The record is from RNAcentral.
UUAGUAAUUUAUGAAAGUUUUUGAUAAAAAUUUUAAGUCUACGGGCACUUACUAAG